This 272-nucleotide unclassified non-coding RNA is filed under the name plant metagenome. RNAcentral describes it as "partial contains small subunit ribosomal RNA, internal transcribed spacer 1, and 5.8S ribosomal RNA". The record is from RNAcentral.
UUUCCGUAGGUGAACCUGCGGAAGGAUCACUAAUGAGUUGUCAUGGGGUUCGAUGCUGGCAGCCUGUUUUUGGAUGCAUGUGCUUCCCCUAACAAUCAUCUUCUUCCAAACACCUGUGCACAUUUUUGAGGGAGUCUUGGGUUGGUUGCCGCUCUUGGGUGAUUUUCUCACAUUCCCUUAAAUCAUUAUACGCUAUUAUCAAUGUUGAACGUUCUCUUUGCCGCAAGGCCAUUAAUAUAAUACAACUUUUAACAACGGAUCUCUUGGCUCUC